RNAcentral lists this ribosomal RNA (458 nucleotides) under uncultured bacterium. RNAcentral describes it as "partial 16S ribosomal RNA". It matches the Rfam family "Bacterial small subunit ribosomal RNA", at positions 338 to 795 of the family's 1533-position model. The record is from RNAcentral.
CCUACGGGUGGCAGCAGUGGGGAAUAUUGCACAAUGGGGGAAACCCUGAUGCAGCGACGCCGCGUGAGUGAAGAAGUACUUCGUUACGUAAAGCUCUAUCAGCAGGGAAGAAACACUGACCUUACGGUCAGCAGACGGUACCUGAGUAAGAAGCCCCGGCUAACUACGUGCCAGCAGCCGCGGUAAUACGUAGGGGGCAAGCGUUAUCCGGAUUUACUGGGUGUAAAGGGAGCGUAGACGGUGCGCCAAGUCUGGAGGGAAAUGCCGCAGCUUAACUGCGGAACUGCUUUUGAAACUGGCGAACUAGAGUGCGGGAGAGGUAAGCGGAAUUCCUAGUGUAGCGGUGAAAUGCGUAGAUAUUAGGAAGAACACCGAUGGCGAAGGCGGCUUACUGGACCGUAACUGACGUUGAGGCUCGAAAGCGUGGGGAGCAAACAGGAUUAGAUACCCCGGUAGUC